RNAcentral lists this unclassified non-coding RNA (372 nucleotides) under Bombus terrestris (buff-tailed bumblebee). RNAcentral's name for it is "misc RNA ENSBTSG00005033728.1". The record is from RNAcentral. Lineage: Eukaryota; Metazoa; Arthropoda; Insecta; Hymenoptera; Apidae.
CAAACUAAAGAAGAUCCUACCACACACUUACUACUCCAUCCUAAAGUCCUACCUAAUCAAUAGAUAAUUCAUGGUUAAAUACUUAGACGCCACAACCACAACAUUUCCAAUAGAAGCUGGCAUACCCCAAGGCAGUGUUCUCGAAUCCCUGCUGUUCUCCACCUACACUGCUGAUUUACCAACUUUAACAGAGAUAACCACAGCGACAUUUUCUGAUGACACAGCGCUAUUAGCAUCCCACGCAGACCCGAUAAUUGCAUCCUCCAUCCUCCAGCGAGGUCUCGACUCUAUGGAAAAGUGGUGACCAUUAACAAAAUUACAAUUCCUAACAAGGAUUCAGUCAGAUAUCUGGACAUGACUCUGGGCAGGAGA